UAGAGCCCGUGCUCCGCAACAGGAGAGGCCACCGCAAUGAAAAGCCCGCGUAUCUCAAGAAAGAGCAGCCCCCGCUCGCUGCUUCUGGCCGGGAGGUCUGGAGUCGUAGGUGUUUCAGGGUUCCUACUUGGAAGGCCUAGGAGGCUAAAGCUUUUCUGCAAACAGAUGCGAGGGACAUGGAGCGGUCUGUCCCAGG
Molecule: long non-coding RNA, 196 nt
Organism: Aethalodelphis obliquidens (Pacific white-sided dolphin)
Lineage: Eukaryota; Metazoa; Chordata; Mammalia; Artiodactyla; Delphinidae
Exons: 2
Source: RefSeq, a predicted model, not a curated record